Molecule: ribosomal RNA, 445 nt
Filed under: uncultured Gammaproteobacteria bacterium
Lineage: Bacteria; Pseudomonadati; Pseudomonadota; Gammaproteobacteria
Description: bacterial SSU rRNA
Rfam family: Bacterial small subunit ribosomal RNA
Source: RNAcentral
CUAGCUUGCUAGUUGCUGACGAGUGGCGGACGGGUGAGUAACGCGUAGGAAUCUACCGAGUAGUGGGGGACAACAGUUGGAAACGACUGCUAAUACCGCAUAAUCCCUGAGGGGGAAAGGAGGGGAUCUGUUUACAGACCUUUCGCUAUUUGAUGAGCCUGCGUGAGAUUAGCUAGUUGGUGAGGUAAUGGCUCACCAAGGCGACGAUCUCUAGCUGGUCUGAGAGGAUGAUCAGCCACACUGGAACUGAGACACGGUCCAGACUCCUACGGGAGGCAGCAGUGGGGAAUAUUGCACAAUGGGGGAAACCCUGAUGCAGCCAUGCCGCGUGUGUGAAGAAGGCCUUCGGGUUGUAAAGCACUUUCAGCGAGGAGGAAAGGAGUAUGUUUAAUAAACGUGCUCUGUGACGUUACUCGCAGAAGAAGCACCGGCUAACUCCGUGCCA